This 483-nucleotide ribosomal RNA is filed under the name uncultured bacterium. Its description in RNAcentral is "partial 16S ribosomal RNA". It matches the Rfam family "Bacterial small subunit ribosomal RNA", at positions 29 to 507 of the family's 1533-position model. The record is from RNAcentral.
UUGAACGCUGGCGGCAUGCUUUACCCCUGCAAGUCGAACGGCAGCGCGGGCUUCGGCCUGGCGGCGAGUGGCGAACGGGUGGUAAAUACAUCGGAACGUGCCCAGUAGGGGGGGAUAGCCGGGCGAAAGCCGGAUAAUAACCCCAACCGCCUGGGGGGGAAAAGCGGGGGAUCUUGGGCCCUCGCGCUUUUGGCGCGCCGGAUGGCAGAUUAGCUAGUUGGUGGGGUAAAGGCCUACCAAGGCGACGAUCUGUAGCUGGUCUGAGAGGACGACCAGCCACACUGGGACUGAGACACGGCCCAGACUCCUACGGGAGGCAGCAGUGGGGAAUUUUGGACAAUGGGCGAAAGCCUGAUCCAGCAAUGCCGCGUGUGUGAUGAAGGCCUUCGGGUUGUAAAGCACUUUUGGCGGGAACGAAAAGGACUGUGCCAAUACCACGGUUCGAUGACGGUACCCGCAGAAUAAGCACCGGCUAACUACGUG